Molecule: long non-coding RNA, 576 nt
Filed under: Equus caballus (horse)
Lineage: Eukaryota; Metazoa; Chordata; Mammalia; Perissodactyla; Equidae
Description: lncRNA (ENSECAG00000058023.1)
Source: RNAcentral
ACAAACCCCAGGCUGCCAGAGUACAGCGCACAAACUUAACCACUAUGUCAUCGGUCCAGCCCCUGACUUGUGUUUUAAAAGAAACCCUUUGGCUGUUGCACAGAGCCCAGUGAGGAGGCUAGUGAACCCACCCAGACUCAAUCAAACGGUGGAGUCUAAUGUCCUCCUUUCCCAAAGGUUGUCCUCUGAGUCUGUCUUGAUGAACAGAAGGCAGCAGAAGCGAUGCUACAUGACUUCUGAUAAAUCAUGAAGGACCACAUGGCUUCCGCCAGCUCUAUCUCUCAGGACACUCACCUUUGGAACCCAGUCUCUGUUUUGUGAGGAUGCCCAGGCCACACGGAGAGGCCUCAUGUAGGUGUAGCCGGAAGCCCAGCUGAGAUUCCCGCCACCAGCCAGAAUCAACCGCCAGCCAGGGGAGUAAAUGAGCCUUCAGGAGGCUUCAGCCCCAGGCAUUGAGUUAUCCUCGGCCCUCAAGUCUUCGAGCUGAGGCCCUGGACGUCGUGGCACAGCGGCAAGCCGUCCUCACCAUGCCCUGUCUGAAAUCCUCUCUCCUAAGAACAAUAAAUGGAUGUUUUA